RNAcentral lists this ribosomal RNA (490 nucleotides) under Melanophryniscus moreirae. Its description in RNAcentral is "partial small subunit ribosomal RNA". It matches the Rfam family "Bacterial small subunit ribosomal RNA", at positions 794 to 1522 of the family's 1533-position model. The record is from RNAcentral. Lineage: Eukaryota; Metazoa; Chordata; Amphibia; Anura; Bufonidae.
GCCUAGCCGUAAACUUUUAAUUACACCAUGACCGCCUGGGAACUACGAGCAAAGCUUAAAACCCAAAGGACUUGACGGUACCCCAUAUCCCCCUAGAGGAGCCUGUCCUAUAAUCGAUAAUCCACGUUUAACCUCACCACUUUUAGCUUGUCAGCCUGUAUACCUCCGUCGUCAGCUUACCACGUGAGCGAAACUUAGUGAGCUUAAUGCCUCUACACCAAUACGUCAGGUCAAGGUGCAGUAAAUGAAGUGGGAAGAGAUGGGCUACACUCUCUAACAUAGAAGAUACGAAAAACUAACUAUGAAACCUAGUUGGAAGGCGGAUUUAGUAGUAAAAAGAAACAAUAAAGUUUUUUUUAACCCGGCACUGGGGUGUGUACACACCGCCCGUCACCCUCCUCAAAGCUAAAAAUUAGUGUUUAACAAACAAAAGCAAUAUAGAAGAGGCAAGUCGUAACAUGGUAAGUAUACCGGAAGGUGUACUUGGAAA